CACACAAAAUAGGGACUUGCAGUGUAAGUAUAUAUUAUACUUACUAUCAAUAGGUUAGCGGCGUUUACGGCCUUUGCGACUAUUUUGGGUGCCUUGUCAGAUUGGACUUGUCCUACGAUAACGAUGUUCAUGGAUACCUUUUCAGCGCCCAUUUUUGAUUUUGGUCGGUUUUUGUUGUGUGAAGAAUUAAAAACUGCAAGUAAAAAGUAAAAUAAUAAGAACAAAAAAAUAUACUACUAUAGUUUUUUUCGCACGGGUAUACUUU
Cinara cedri is the source of this 265-nucleotide non-coding RNA. NCBI's taxonomy places the organism in Eukaryota, Metazoa, Arthropoda, Insecta, Hemiptera, Aphididae. The record is from the annotation of a GenBank genome assembly.